GUGUGUGUGUGUGUGUGUGUGUGUGUGUGUUCACUGCUCCGGGUGUGUGUGUGUGUGUGUUCACUGCUCCGGGUGUGUGUGUGUGUGUGUGUGUUGUGUGUGUGUGUGUGUGUUCACUGCUCCGGGUGUGUGUGUGUGUUCACUGCUCCGGGUGUGUGUGUGUGUGUGUGUGUACUGCUCCGGGUGUGUGUGUGUGUUCACUGCUGUGUGUGUGUACUGCUCCGGGUGUGUGUUCAUGGUGUGUGUGUGUGUUCACCGCUGUGUGUGUGUGUGUUCACGGUGUGUGUGUGUGUACUGCUCCGGGUGUGUGUUCACGGUGUGUGUGUGUGUGUGUGUGUUCACUGCUCCAGGUGUGUGUUCAUGGUGUGUG
Cyprinus carpio carpio is the source of this 370-nucleotide long non-coding RNA. The record is from Ensembl. Lineage: Eukaryota; Metazoa; Chordata; Actinopteri; Cypriniformes; Cyprinidae.